This 468-nucleotide ribosomal RNA is filed under the name uncultured bacterium. RNAcentral describes it as "partial 16S ribosomal RNA". It matches the Rfam family "Bacterial small subunit ribosomal RNA", at positions 28 to 507 of the family's 1533-position model. The record is from RNAcentral.
GACGAACGCUGGCGGCGUGCUUAACACAUGCAAGUCGAACGGAAAGGCCCUGCUUUUGUGGGGUGCUCGAGUGGCGAACGGGUGAGUAACACGUGAGUAACCUGCCCUUGACUUUGGGAUAACUUCAGGAAACUGGGGCUAAUACCGGAUAGGAGCUCCUGCUGCAUGGUGGGGGUUGGAAAGUUUCGGCGGUUGGGGAUGGACUCGCGGCUUAUCAGCUUGUUGGUGGGGUAGUGGCUUACCAAGGCUUUGACGGGUAGCCGGCCUGAGAGGGUGACCGGCCACAUUGGGACUGAGAUACGGCCCAGACUCCUACGGGAGGCAGCAGUGGGGAAUAUUGCACAAUGGGCGGAAGCCUGAUGCAGCAACGCCGCGUGAGGGAUGACGGCCUUCGGGUUGUAAACCGCUUUCGCCUGUGACGAAGCGAGAGUGACGGUAAUGGGAAAAGAAGCACCGGCUAACUACGUG